UUAAAUUGAAGAGUUUGAUCAUGGCUCAGAUUGAACGCUGGCGGCAGGCCUAACACAUGCAAGUCGAACGGUAACAGAAAGCAGCUUGCUGCUUUGCUGACGAGUGGCGGACGGGUGAGUAAUGUCUGGGAAACUGCCUGAUGGAGGGGGAUAACUACUGGAAACGGUAGCUAAUACCGCAUAACGUCGCAAGACCAAAGAGGGGGACCUUCGGGCCUCUUGCCAUCGGAUGUGCCCAGAUGGGAUUAGCUUGUUGGUGGGGUAACGGCUCACCAAGGCGACGAUCCCUAGCUGGUCUGAGAGGAUGAC
Molecule: ribosomal RNA, 309 nt
Filed under: Escherichia coli
Lineage: Bacteria; Pseudomonadati; Pseudomonadota; Gammaproteobacteria; Enterobacterales; Enterobacteriaceae
Description: bacterial SSU rRNA
Rfam family: Bacterial small subunit ribosomal RNA
Source: RNAcentral